UUUAUUUUGCUCUCCUCUCUCUCUCCUUAAUCGUUUCUCUGUCUCUCCUCUCUCGUCUCUUCGAUAUCGAUAUAUCAGAAUGGAAAAGCUUGAGAGAAGAUGUAUAACACUGGGCAAAGCGUCUUUCACCGGCGAUAUCAUCAUCUCGAUCGACUGCGGCACUAUCGACGGUGGCGGUUCAUCAAUUGGAGAGGGUUUUUGCUUCACCAAAUCGGAGAUUGAAGUGGUCAAUUCUCGAAUUGUUUGGUUUAAUCGUUUCUCUAGUUUGUAUUUCAUAGUCAUUACGAUGGCGCCAUCAACAACCAACCAACCGUCAAACUUAUCCAAAGAAAUGAUCAGAUCAAUCCAAGACAAUUAACCAUGAGUUGUCAUUGUAAUAAUCUAUAUGUUUUGGCACUUGAAUUUCAAUAUAACUGGCCUCUCUUCUAUUUCUCAAA
Camelina sativa (false flax) is the source of this 437-nucleotide non-coding RNA. Lineage: Eukaryota; Viridiplantae; Streptophyta; Magnoliopsida; Brassicales; Brassicaceae. The record is from RefSeq and is a predicted model, not a curated record.